This 497-nucleotide ribosomal RNA is filed under the name uncultured bacterium. Its description in RNAcentral is "partial 16S ribosomal RNA". It matches the Rfam family "Bacterial small subunit ribosomal RNA", at positions 28 to 507 of the family's 1533-position model. The record is from RNAcentral.
GAUGAACGCUGGCGGCGUGCCUAAUACAUGCAAGUCGAGCGAACGGACGAGAAGCUUGCUUCUCUGAUGUUAGCGGCGGACGGGUGAGUAACACGUGGAUAACCUACCUAUAAGACUGGGAUAACUUCGGGAAACCGGAGCUAAUACCGGAUAAUAUUUUGAACCGCAUGGUUCAAAAGUGAAAGACGGUCUUGCUGUCACUUAUAGAUGGAUCCGCGCUGCAUUAGCUAGUUGGUAAGGUAACGGCUUACCAAGGCAACGAUGCAUAGCCGACCUGAGAGGGUGGUCGGCCACACGGGAACUGAGACACGGUCCAGACUCCUACGGGAGGCAGCAGUAGGGAAUCUUCCGCAAUGGGCGAAAGCCUGACGGAGCAACGCCGCGUGAGUGAUGAAGGUCUUCGGAGCGUAAAACUCUGUUAUUAGGGAAGAACAGAUGUGUAAGGAACUGUGCACAUCUUGACGGUACCUAAUCAGAAAGCCACGGCUAACUACGUG